GAUGAACGAGGGAGGAAGGACGAAUACAUGCAAGUCGAGCGAACAGAUGAGGAGCUUGCUCCUCUGACGUUAGCGGCGGACGGGUGAGUAACACGUGGAUAACCUACCUAUAAGACUGGGAUAACUUCGGGAAACCGGAGCUAAUACCGGAUAAUAUAUUGAACCGCAUGGUUCAAUAGUGAAAGACGGUUUUGCUGUCACUUAUAGAUGGAUCCGCGCCGCAUUAGCUAGUUGGUAAGGUAACGGCUUACCAAGGCAACGAUGCGUAGCCGACCUGAGAGGGUGAUCGGCCACACUGGAACUGAGACACGGUCCAGACUCCUACGGGAGGCAGCAGUAGGGAAUCUUCCGCAAUGGGCGAAAGCCUGACGGAGCAACGCCGCGUGAGUGAUGAAGGUCUUCGGAUCGUAAAACUCUGUUAUUAGGGAAGAACAAAUGUGUAAGUAACUAUGCACGUCUUGACGGUACCUAAUCAGAAAGCCACGGCUAACUACGUG
This 497-nucleotide ribosomal RNA is filed under the name uncultured bacterium. RNAcentral's name for it is "partial 16S ribosomal RNA". It matches the Rfam family "Bacterial small subunit ribosomal RNA", at positions 28 to 507 of the family's 1533-position model. The record is from RNAcentral.